RNAcentral lists this unclassified non-coding RNA (499 nucleotides) under Cladosporium cladosporioides. Its description in RNAcentral is "sequence contains ITS1, 5.8S rRNA gene, ITS2". The stretch from base 132 to 285 matches the Rfam family "5.8S ribosomal RNA". Lineage: Eukaryota; Fungi; Ascomycota; Dothideomycetes; Cladosporiales; Cladosporiaceae. The record is from RNAcentral.
AUGUUCAUAACCCUUUGUUGUCCAGACUCUGUUGCCUCCGGGGCGACCCUGCCUUCGGGCGGGGGCUCCGGGUGGACACUUCAAACUCUUGCGUAACUUUGCAGUCUGAGUAAACUUAAUUAAUAAAUUAAAACUUUUAACAACGGAUCUCUUGGUUCUGGCAUCGAUGAAGAACGCAGCGAAAUGCGAUAAGUAAUGUGAAUUGCAGAAUUCAGUGAAUCAUCGAAUCUUUGAACGCACAUUGCGCCCCCUGGUAUUCCGGGGGGCAUGCCUGUUCGAGCGUCAUUUCACCACUCAAGCCUCGCUUGGUAUUGGGCAUCGCGGUCCGCCGCGUGCCUCAAAUCGACCGGCUGGGUCUUCUGUCCCCUAAGCGUUGUGGAAACUAUUCGCUAAAGGGUGUUCGGGAGGCUACGCCGUAAAACAACCCCAUUUCUAAGGUUGACCUCGGAUCAGGUAGGGAUACCCGCUGAACUUAAGCAUAUCAAUAAGCCGGAGGAAA